GACGAACGCUGGCGGCGUGCUUAACACAUGCAAGUCGAACGGAAAGGCCCUUCGGGGUACUCGAGUGGCGAACGGGUGAGUAACACGUGGGUGAUCUGCCCUGCACUUUGGGAUAAGCCUGGGAAACUGGGUCUAAUACCGAAUACACCUCAUUGACUGCAUGGUUGGUGGGGGAAAGCUUUUGCGGUGUGGGAUGGGCCCGCGGCCUAUCAGCUUGUUGGUGAGGUUACGGCUCACCAAGGCGACGACGGGUAGCCGGCCUGAGAGGGUGACCGGCCACACUGGGACUGAGAUACGGCCCAGACUCCUACGGGAGGCUG
This 320-nucleotide ribosomal RNA is filed under the name uncultured Actinomycetes bacterium. Its description in RNAcentral is "bacterial SSU rRNA". It matches the Rfam family "Bacterial small subunit ribosomal RNA", at positions 28 to 351 of the family's 1533-position model. The record is from RNAcentral. Lineage: Bacteria; Bacillati; Actinomycetota; Actinomycetes.